AUUGAACGCUGGCGGCAGGCUUAACACGUGCAAGUCGAGCGGGGUGAUGGUGCUUGCACUAUCACUUAGCGGCGGACGGGUGAGUAAUGCUUAGGAAUCUGCCUAUUAGUGGGGGACAACAUCUCGAAAGGGAUGCUAAUACCGCAUACGUCCUACGGGAGAAAGCAGGGGAUCACUUGUGACCUUGCGCUAAUAGAUGAGCCUAAGUCGGAUUAGCUAGUUGGUGGGGUAAAGGUCUACCAAGGCGACGAUCUGUAGCGGGUCUGAGAGGCUGAUCCGCCACACUGGGACUAGGACACGGCCAAGACUCCUACGGGAGGUAGCAGUUGGGAAUAUUGGACAAUGGGGGGAACCCUGAUCCAGCCAUGCCGCGUGUGUGAAGAAGGCCCUAUGGUUGUAAAGCACUUUAAGCGAGGAGGAGGCUCUUUUGGUUAAUACCCAAGAUGAGUGGACGUUACUCGCAGAAUAAGCACCGGCUAACUCUGUGCCAGCCGCCGCCGUAA
Molecule: ribosomal RNA, 503 nt
Filed under: uncultured bacterium
Lineage: Bacteria
Description: partial 16S ribosomal RNA
Rfam family: Bacterial small subunit ribosomal RNA
Source: RNAcentral